CCUACGGGAGGCAGCAGUGAGGAAUAUUGGUCAAUGGGCGAGAGCCUGAACCAGCCAAGUAGCGUGAAGGAUGACGGCCCUAUGGGUUGUAAACUUCUUUUAUAAGGGAAUAAAAUGUUUCACGUGUGGGAUUUUGGAUGUACCAUAUGAAUAAGGAUCGGCUAACUCCGUGCCAAGAGCCGCGGUAAUACGGAGGAUCCGGGCGUUAACCGGAUUUAAUGGGUUUAAAGGGAGGGGAGGUGGCGUGUUAAGUCAGUUGUGAAAGUGUGCGGCUCAACCGUAAAUUUGCCGUUGAAACUGGCAGUCUUGAGUGCAGGAGAGGUAGGCGGAAUUCGUGGUGUAGCGGUGAAAUGCUUAGAUAUCACGAAGAACUCCGAUUGCGAAGGCAGCACACUGGCCUGCAACUGACACUGAGGCUCGAAAGUGUGGGUAUCAAACAGGAUUAGAUACCCCUGUAGUC
Molecule: ribosomal RNA, 460 nt
Filed under: uncultured bacterium
Lineage: Bacteria
Description: partial 16S ribosomal RNA
Rfam family: Bacterial small subunit ribosomal RNA
Source: RNAcentral